RNAcentral lists this ribosomal RNA (252 nucleotides) under uncultured microorganism. Its description in RNAcentral is "partial 16S ribosomal RNA". It matches the Rfam family "Bacterial small subunit ribosomal RNA", at positions 524 to 776 of the family's 1533-position model. The record is from RNAcentral.
UACGUAGGUCCCGAGCGUUGUCCGGAUUUAUUGGGCGUAAAGCGAGCGCAGGUGGUUUAAUAAGUCUGGUGUAAAAGGCAGUGGCUCAACCAUUGUAUGCAUUGGAAACUGUUAGACUUGAGUGCAGUAGAGGAGAGUGGAAUUCCAUGUGUAGCGGUGAAAUGCGUAGAUAUAUGGAGGAACACCGGUGGCGAAAGCGGCUCUCUGGACUGUAACUGACACUGAGGCUCGAAAGCGUGGGUAGCAAACAGG